Telopea speciosissima is the source of this 138-nucleotide long non-coding RNA. RefSeq lists it as uncharacterized. The record is from RefSeq and is a predicted model, not a curated record. NCBI's taxonomy places the organism in Eukaryota, Viridiplantae, Streptophyta, Magnoliopsida, Proteales, Proteaceae. The transcript is spliced from 3 exons.
UUUUCCAAAUCUAUAAGUCUCUACCUUCUCUAAAGAACAACCAGCAAAGAGAAACAAAAGAAGAACAAUUGAAAGAGGGGAAAGGAAGGAGGAGUAGUUAAUGGCCAUGGAUAUGAUGGUAUGCGUAUUCCCCUAAUC